This 497-nucleotide ribosomal RNA is filed under the name uncultured bacterium. RNAcentral's name for it is "partial 16S ribosomal RNA". It matches the Rfam family "Bacterial small subunit ribosomal RNA", at positions 28 to 507 of the family's 1533-position model. The record is from RNAcentral.
GAUGAACGCUGGCGGCGUGCCUAAUACAUGCAAGUCGAGCGAACGGACGAGAAGCAUGCUUCUCUGAUGUUAGCGGCGGACGGGUGAGUAACCCGUGGAUAACCUACCUAUAAGACUGGGAUUACUUCGGGAAACCGGAGCUAAUACCGGAUCAUCUUCUGAACCGCAUGGUUCCAAAGUGCAAGACGGUCUUGCUGUCACUUAUCGAUGGAUCCGGGCUGCAUUAGGUAGUUGGUAAGAUAACGGCUUACCAAGGCAACGAUGCGUACCCGACCUGGAAGGGUAAACGGCCACACAAGGUCUAAGACACGGUCGCCACUCCUACAGGAGGCAGCAGCAUGGAACCUACCGCAAUGGGCGAAUGCCUGACGGAGCGACGCCGCGUGAGUGGUGAACGCCCACGGUGCGGAAAGCGCUGUAAAUAGGGAAGAACAUAUGGCUAAGUAACUGGGCACAUCUCGACGGUUCCUAAACAGAAAGGCGCGGCUAACUACUUG